Molecule: long non-coding RNA, 1032 nt
Filed under: Fragaria vesca (wild strawberry)
Lineage: Eukaryota; Viridiplantae; Streptophyta; Magnoliopsida; Rosales; Rosaceae
Description: long non-coding RNA (FVES_LNC004881)
Source: RNAcentral
UACUUUCUCGCACUAGGAAGAAAGCGAGCUUGGCACAACCUGAUCCAUUAAUCAGUGAUACUCAUAUCCGUCUCAUGAAGUCUGAAUUGUGAUUAUCGUUGGGGGACGCCUCAAUGUCAAAUCCAAUCCAUAUAGAUAUCUCUACAAAGUAUUACACUAGUGUACAUGAGGACGUGGGAUAAUGAGUCUACUAUCGAACCACCCUUCGUUGAUGGAUAUCAACUUAGUUGAUUGGCCUAAUGGAAAGAUGUGAUCCAGCAUUAACAAAGAGAUAGGUCCUUGGGCAGGUGAUGCCGACACCGCAAGCUAAACCCUAUCAACUAUGCCUUUGUUAAAUAGCGUAGUGAGAGUAAGAGCUUAGACUCACCUUAUGGCGCAAGGUCUUUCACUAACACGCACUGGGAUCAACUACGAUGAGAUAUGCUCUCGUAAUGGAUGUCAUUGAACUUCACUACUUUGUCAGUUUGGUAGUUUCCGAAUAACUGAACAUGUAGCUUAUGAAUGUGGUCAUAAUAACAUCUCUAUGGGAUCAGAGAUAUACAUGAAGAUCUUAAACGGACUUCAUUCAUCCGAAUCAAGUGGCUCCAAACCACAGGAGCUUGUGUUUGCUAAAUGUAUUGAAACGCACAUGGACUCUACUUGAUUUGGAAGGGAUAUGGUGAAUUAUGCCUUUGCGUGUUCAUUCCGGAUUUACAUGGACUCUUGAUGGAUCAAGAGAUGCCAAUAUGUAUCAACAUCCAAAGAAAAAAAUCUUGGGAAGACAUGGUCUCGAUAAGGCACUCGAUGACUGUAUUGAUGAUGAGGCCUACAUAUACUCCCAUGAUUAGUCAAGGUCUUUGCUCUAAAGAGAGAUCCGUUGUUUUGUCUAAAGCAAGAUGACAAAUAUGUGUUAAGAGAUGGAGUUCCCAUCUAAGUACAAUAAGACACAUCAAUGUACUCAACACAAUACGAAAGACUUGACAUCUCAUUCGCUAUGAAAAGUUAGUAAAGCUAAGUGUAGCUAUGCGCCCACGCAACGCCAAUGUAAUGGCA